ACGCCUGCCCAGUGAACAAUUAAACGGCCGCGGUACCCUAACCGUGCAAAGGUAGCGUAAUCAUUUGUCUACUAAUUAUAGACCUGUAUGAAAGGCAAAAUGAGGGCUUAACUGUCUCUUAUAGUAAAUCAAUUAAACUGAUCUUCUAGUAAAAAAGCUAGAAUUACCACAUAAGACCAGAAGACCCUGUGAAGCUUAAACUAAACUAUUAAACCUAAUGAUAACUACUUUAGGUUGGGGCGACCUUGGAAAUAAGAAUAACUUCCAAAAGUCUAUGACAAAAACAGGCUAACAAGCCAAUAUAAAAGACCCAGCAACGCUGAAAAUUGAACCAAGUUACUCCAGGGAUAACAGCGCAAUCUUCUUCGAGAGCCCAUAUCAAAAAGAAGGUUUACGACCUCGAUGUUGGAUCAGGACAUCCUAAUGGUGCAGAAGCUAUUAAGGGUUCGUUUGUUCAACGAUUAACAGUCCUACGUGAUCUG
This 482-nucleotide ribosomal RNA is filed under the name Ahaetulla pulverulenta (brown-speckled whipsnake). Its description in RNAcentral is "partial 16S ribosomal RNA". It matches the Rfam family "Bacterial large subunit ribosomal RNA", at positions 1855 to 2607 of the family's 2925-position model. Lineage: Eukaryota; Metazoa; Chordata; Lepidosauria; Squamata; Colubridae. The record is from RNAcentral.